This is a non-coding RNA of Cyanistes caeruleus (blue tit), 1337 nucleotides long. The record is from RefSeq and is a predicted model, not a curated record. NCBI's taxonomy places the organism in Eukaryota, Metazoa, Chordata, Aves, Passeriformes, Paridae.
CUCGGCCCGGCCCGGCCCGGCCCCGGCCGUGCCACCGGGCUCCAAACCCCACCGGCAGCAUGGCUGCUUCGUCAGGCUCCUGACAUCAACCAGAUCUUUUCCAGCUUCCCAUUUCAUGCUAGUCCAGACUACUUUCCUUAAAAGGAAUAACAUUUUGCUUUGCUUUGCCCAGGGCUGUCUCAUCAAGGAAUGCCAAGAGCGCCCAAAUAUGUCCAACCGGUGCUUCCAUGAUCAUCUUUGUUGUGUGUUACUGCUCGUAAGCAAACCACUGGAUUCAGACAAUGCUCGAUGAGUCGUUCAAGCCCGUAACUUCUCUUAUGGAAAAGGUGUUUUGCAAUUGUAAAAUGGCACUGGGAAAACAGCCAGGUCUCAGGCAGGAUAUAUUAUCUCAUGUUUGCAUUCAUUUUUUCUCAAAACCUUCCAUGACAGAAGAUGCAGGAGAUGUUGUUUCAAUGAUCUAUCUCAGAAAUCAGAAAUACAGUCAUAUAAGUGACUCUAUGUCCUGAUGUUCAACCAUGAGCAAAAUUCCAUUCAAUAGCAGAUAUCCUCCUUUACUCCCAUCAGGAAAAUUAGAAAUGGAUGAGUUAUCAUCCAUGUUGAACAGACCAAUUUCCAACUGCAUUUAUAUUUUGCCUCUCCAGCAGCUUAACAGAAAGUGCAGCAAAGCGAAACCAAGUGAUAUCCUGAGGGCACAGGUGAUGCCGGAACUCUUAUGUGAAUCUUGCAGCUGGAGAAGAAGGCUGAGGUGAAAAGACUAUGAUACAGAAACCUCCAAUGUACUUCCAGCUUGGCCACCAACCUGAAUGAAACCUGAUGUGUCCUCCUAUUUCUUCUAGCCACAUCUUUUCUGUAGUACCAUUUUGAGGGCCUUAAGGGUAUAUUUUUUACACAUAUUUACAAAGAUGUUGAACCUCUGGAUAUCCAAGCAGGGAUUUCAGCAAAGUAACUCAUGUUCCAAUGGCCCUCUUCCAUAACCGCAAUCAACAGCACAGUUCUUAAUGACAUUUAAAUGGAGCUGAUUUUUUUAAAACUUUGAAAUAGUGUGAAGACACUCUGAAUUCUGGAUGAGGUUUUUGUUGCUACUUAGAUGAAAAACGUGACUUUCUGAGUUAUUCAAACAUGGGAAUUAAACCCACAAAGGCAAUAAAACCUCUUGAAUAAUCACUGUUCAGCAAAAGCUUGCUGAUUAAUAGCCAUUAAAGAAUACAGAACCACAAAGUCAUUGACUUCCAUUAAAGUGAUAGUGGAUACUGCUGGGUUCUGAGUUACAAGGUGCUACAGAAAAAGUGUGUUUGAAUUUUUCAAGAACCAUAAUCAUUAAAGAAAAGAACUUGAAA